This 223-nucleotide long non-coding RNA is filed under the name Phoenix dactylifera (date palm). RNAcentral describes it as "long non-coding RNA (PDAC_LNC011195)". Lineage: Eukaryota; Viridiplantae; Streptophyta; Magnoliopsida; Arecales; Arecaceae. The record is from RNAcentral.
UUACAUAGCACUUAUUAUUAUUUUUAUGCACAUACUUUGGAUUUAAACAUAGAAAAAUGUGUUUCCUUCAUCAUUUCAUUCUAGAUAAAUUAUUCAAGUUUGAUUGAUUUUCUAUAUUGAUCUAGUCUAAUGUGUGCAGGUCGAGUUACCCCAUUCACGAAUUAGUCCCAAUCUGUUCCAUGUGUGGAUUACUUUCUUCCACAUGUGCAUGAAGCUACCCAUU